GGAAGAUGCUGGAGUGGGUGGCAAAUAUGCAAUGUAGCACUGACUGAAACAAGUCAGACGGAGCCAAAGCCUCCCGUUGUAUAAAGAUCCCAGAGAGUGGAGUUACUUUACAGGCACUUUAGUAAUGAUACUUGUUAGGAGUGAAAUUUAGUUUGGAGAAGGCGCCAUAUCAAGAAAUCCUUGGCAUUAGCCCAGAGUAGAGCUUGUAUUUUCCUUUGGCUUGGGCAUAUUUCCCCCACCCCCUUUGUGUCAGUGCUUCAUCCUUCUUUGGAAGAAAAUAAAGUCUCCGCACAGGCGGCGUUUGAUGCAGGGCUCAUUUGAUCUGGUUGAUUCCGGAAACAGAUGCAUCCUCUUGGUCUCAGCACAAAUUGUUGGGGUUUCUUUUUUCUGGUUUUACCAAAGCCAGAUCUGUGUCUCUAUCAGCACAGAGGAAAAAAGUAAUUACUGAAGUAUUAGUGUGAUUAUUAUUUCCUGAUACGAAUUGCUGCAUUCCUUACUUGUAUCUGGUCCUUUCCCUGGGCUGGAGUUAGGAAAUUGAAAAACAAACUCACCUUGGACAAAGCCUGUAUUGAUUAUCUUUUAAUCUCGUUUGUGUUGGAGAAAGCUUUGAGAGUUUAACGAAAGAGGAAAAACCCUCUCCUUGAAGAAUUCACGUUUUCUCACACCUACAAAAUGGGACGUGAUUUCAAGAGAUUCACAAACCUCUUGAAGCCCCUGAGGACCCUUGAGGAAUCUGUGGACCCUGGUUGAGAACCUCUGGUCUAUACAGUCAAAAAUGAAAUGGGAGAACUGCUUGCUGAAAUUGGACAGUGACAAUUGUCUACUAAUUCUGCAGUACAUUUUGGGAGGUCAGAGUAAACCUGAAUUACAUUCGCCGUGUAGUUGCUCAAGCCUCUGCUAUGGCAUUGAUUCAGUGGGUGGACCUCAGCUUUCCCAAUGCCCACACCUCCAUGCCAACCCAAACAUACGCGAAGGUUCUAGAGAGAGGAGGAAGAGGAGCAGGAAAUCAUUUAAGACUUUUCAUUUUUCAAAGGAACACACUGGCACGGAGGGAAUUCCUGUUGCCACCACAUGCUACUGUUUACCUGUCCUUCACACACCUACAGCAAGCAAGUGACACAGCCUCCUUCAAGGGCCCCACCUUCAGGAAUGUGGCCUUAUUUUACAGGAUGGGAAGAGCAAAGGCAGGUUUAGGAGUGUGACCUUGAGUGAGAAUGGGAGGGGACACUGGCUUCUGUUUCCUGAAAGCCACCAAGGGAAACUAAGUAAUUAUUCAAUCAAUAGAUAUUUUAAAUAAAUGAAUAUGGUUGGGAUUUAAUUGAUUUCAGUUUUGAAUAGGUAAUACAUUCUAAUGGUUCAAAACUCCAAAUUUACAAAAAGGUUUAUGAAAAAUUGUUGCUCCUCCCAAGUAAUCGAGUUCCCCACCCCUGCAGGUAGACAUUUUUUUUUUUAAAGAUUUUAUUUAUUUAUUUCACAGAGAUAGAGACAGCCAGCGAGAGAGGGAACACAAGCAGGGGGAGUGGGAGAGAAAGAAGCAGGCUCAUAGCAGAGGAGCCUGAUGUGGGGCUCGAUCCCAUAACGCCGGGAUCACGCCCUGAGCCGAAGGCAGACGCUUAACCGCUGUGCCACCCAGGUGCCCCUGGUAGACAUAUUUUUUGCACCCUGGUAGAAAUACUGUCUGCAUAAAUGAGCACAUAUGAACACACCCUCCCACCCCAUUUUUUCCCUCUGACCAAUGAUUGCAUACUUUAACACUGUCCUGUACUUUGCUCUUUUCACUGAAGAUUAUAUCCAGGAAAUAUUUCUCUCUCAGUUCACAAAGAGCUUCCUUGUUCUUUCAUAAGUAUGCAUAGUAUCGUCCUUGUGUAACUGUAUUGUAAUUUAUUUAACCACAUGGACAUUUAGGUUCUUCCAGGCUUUUGUUAUUACAAACAGUGGUGUAAUAAACUGUUUUGACAAAUGAGGUUCAGAGCUUCUCUUAGUUCCUUGAAGGAAAAUGGAAGUCAGAUUCACUCUACCAGUUUCAUUUUCCGAGCGGAGGGCAUGUGCAUUUCUAGAUCUAAUGGAUACUACCAUUCAGCCCUCUGAAUUUCUGCAAGCACUUGCGGAGUAACCACUUCAUGCUAACACUGUUGCAAAACACUGGGGAUACUCCUGUGCCAUGACAGACCCUGAUCUUCUGGGGACGAAGUUUGGUUGGGGGCUGAGGGAGGACACCUGCCAACAAGAAGCCAAAUGAAUGAACAAGAGAAUUUCAGAUCGUGAUCAAUGGUAUUAAAAAAAAAUUCAGGGGUGCCUGGGCAGCUCAGUCAGUUAAGCGUCCGCUGACUAUUGAUUUCUGCUUAGGUCAUGAUCUUGGGGUCAUGAGAUUGAGCCCUACGUCAGGCUCUGCCCUCAGCAGGGAGUCUGCUGAAGAGUCUCUCCCUCCCUUCGCCCCUCCCCCACAAUAAAUAAAUAAAUCUUAAAAAAAUUUCAAACUCAGGUGAUGUGAUGGAGCGUGUGCGGAGGCCACCACUUAAAUGGGGACCAGGAAUGGCCUCCCUUGGAGCACUGAGCUGUACUUGGAGGGAUGGUUCCAGACGCGAUAAAAAUAAGCCUCUCAUUUUGAAUUGGUGUGAUUUGUAAAAGCUCUUUCAGACUUUCCCCCGUCAAUUGGUUGGUUGCCUCAGAGCAGGCAAUACUUUUGCAGGGUGGAGGGGUUGGAGAUGUUUUCUUUUUUCCUCUCUCUAUAUUCUGUUUUUGCAAAAGAGAAAAUAAUCUUUAAGUAUCCACUCCACAGGAGGGUGGCCCCUUAUACCGUUGGAAGAGGAGCUGCAGCCUGGGGCCGGAUCCGGGAGGCCUCAGUCUUUGUAACUCAAGCCACCGGGGCUAAGCUUGUCAUCGAGUCCAGGUGGCCCACAGCCUGGUGAUGCUGAGUCUUGUGGAGGGUCCCAGAGUGGUGGCAGCUCAGCUGUGAGGACCCAGGUUGUCCUUCUGUUCUUCAGUCGCCCUUCCUUCAACCUUCUGAUGUGGAUGCUCUCGGAGAUUAGAACACUGAAGCGAAGGAAACGUUGAUGGGUAACCUGGGCAUGGAAAUUGUUCAUCCUUCCUUCAUGUAAGGAUGAUAUUAAACACUUUGAGCCAUCAGUCUGGCCCUGGCCCCCCUGACCUGGCAGAAGCUGGCUGCUGUGCCGAGUGAGUGCUUCCCUCCCAUUUCCUGCCUCUAUGCUCACUUUCCUCUGUCCUUUCCAGCAGCAAUGCAGGCAGUCCUUUGAGUUCCAGCUUGAGUGCCCCUCCUCCGUGAAGUCCUCCCACCCCCCUGACAGCCUGAUUUAAAGCCUUCAGGGCUGGGCAGCCAUUGUCUUUAUUCCCUACAAUGUCCUUGGGGGCAGAAGCCUUGGCACCCAUGCCCACUUCUGUCUCUCCCCUAGAGCCUGGCAUGAUAGAGCCUUGUCCGUAGUAGGCCUUCAACACACACACACACACACACACACACACACACACACACACACACACGUGUUGUCCCGGCAGAGUAAAAGUGCUGCCCUGGUUUGUAAGAUGACACUCUGGCCGUAAAUGGGUGAGCUGGCGAUGCUCAGGAGAUGGCGAUUAGCACAUUGUUGUUACUUGAACUUGUUCUAGCGGGUCUAUUUCCCAUCCAAGUCAGCACUCUCUUGUUUUCUAUUUUGGGUCCUAUUUCACCAGAAUGAUUAAACAAAGGGGAAAUCAUCAAAAACCACAGCAGAGCCUGAUGGGGCGGAGGAAGAGGCAGCAGCGAGCGUGUGGGGUUGAGGGGAGGGUGAUAAAAAUACAGUAAGUGGGUGGGAGUCUGAGAGCCGGGGCGGCCCAGACUGAGGCUGCGGCAAGCCUCGCAUGCAAAACAAGACCAUAUGGCAGAGUCUUCGGGGAAAGAGCUUUAUGAGAAGGGGGGCUGAAUCCAAGUAACUUCACCCUGGGAACUGGUCAACUGUCCUGACUUGGGAGAGAGGGAAGCCAAAAUUGUUCCAGAAUUUUUUUUUUUCCUGGAAAGAAGCAUAAACAGAAAUUCCAGCUGAAGGGC
This is a long non-coding RNA of Ailuropoda melanoleuca (giant panda), 4039 nucleotides long. The record is from Ensembl. Lineage: Eukaryota; Metazoa; Chordata; Mammalia; Carnivora; Ursidae.